RNAcentral lists this long non-coding RNA (3200 nucleotides) under Mus musculus (house mouse). RNAcentral's name for it is "long non-coding RNA chr4:103151535-103154735". The record is from RNAcentral. Lineage: Eukaryota; Metazoa; Chordata; Mammalia; Rodentia; Muridae.
AAGAACUCCAUAAUAACUUGAAGAUUUGAGCAUUUAAUUAUUUUCAAAAGCUUUUUGUUGUAUUUAUCAUGAGUGUGGAAGGGAGCAUCAGGCACUGCUUAUGAAUUGCCCACCAGUUAAGAACCAAGGCUACUUUUGUAGAGACUCACAUUUAAUACCUAGCACUCAUGUUGAGUUACUCACAACCACCAGUAAUUUUAGGUCCAGCAGAUCUUACACCUUUGGCUUCCACUGGCACUUGCACGAACAUGCAAGUGUGUGUGCAAGCGUGCGCAUGCGCACAAACACACACACACACAAUCAAAAAUAACUACAUCUUUAACAAAAGAAAAACAUACAUCAGUGGUGAAAGAGAAAUUUGGAGCUUUGAGUAUUGACUCUCCAAAGGGUGGCACCCAGUGUGUCCAACUCUAAUGCUUUGAGCACUCUGGGAAAAGGUUGUGUUUAUGCUAGUGACUGACUGCAUGUUCCGGAAUUUGUUCUAAAAUUCAUUUUUCCAGGUUGAAAGGUGCAUUUUCUUUUUCUAGUAUUCCUGGCAUGCACAUACUACCAAGCUGUGAUGGAUUGCCUCUCGGGGCCCCUCUGGAACACAACUGAAAGUACAACGUCAACCCCCUGGGGGACUUUAAACACGCAGUAGCUGACUUGGAACCUCUGAGGGUUCCAGGGCUUGAGAGUCCUCUCCCACGUGCUCUGUGCUGGACUUAGUUGCUCUAGUGAGCAGAGUGAGGACAGUUAUUCUUUGAGGGUCCCAUGUGAAAAUACCAAGUUGUUCUUUUUAUACUUGGAAUCAAUUCCAAUGUUGACCAUUAAGUUCUGUUAUAGUGGGCUUACGUAAUGAAGAUUUUAUAUAGUGGUAAUAGCACACGCCCAAGAUAUCCUGGCUUUUGGUUUCAGUAAAUUAAAAACUGACUUGCUUGAAGUCAUUCAUUAGGAAGCAAAACAUUGAAAGUGUUUUUCUUAAUGUAUAUUGAUUAGUGUUUUACUUGUAUGUGUGCCAGAUAUGUUCCUGGUGCCCAAGGAAGUCAGGAGAGAGCAUCAGCUCUUCUGAAACUGGACUGAGCCACCAUGUGGGGGUACUAGGAACUGGGGCCUUUACACACUAAACCACUGAAUGCCCUUCCUCCAGCCCUUACUGCUUUAAUGGUCAACAUUGGAAUUGAUUCCAAGUAUAAAAGUUUAAGCAGAGCGGAAGAAAGGGAAUAAAAAUCUACGUUAGAUAAGAGAGGGUGUUAUCAAUAGUAGGUAAAAUCAGUGCCAAAAAGAUGUUUUUGUGAUGAUGAGAAAUUUGUAGACUAAGCCUGUUGACCACCUUGUUUCCAGAGCACUGCUGCGCGCCUUUUCUCUUUGAACCAUGUUUAUUCUUACACGUAACUCCAAUAACUCUCCAAGGUGCAACAGUGAAGAAGAUUUUUAGCAGCACUAUUUGUUGAUCGUUAGUUUCAGAUGUUUAGGAAACCAAUCAUUUGCAUGAAUAGCUGUAGAGCCACGGUGGUGUCUUAAUGUACAAAACCUAAGUACUGGUGUAGCCUAGUUUCCUUUCCCUGGCCUAGUUUCAGACGUUUUGGGAGGAAAAUGAGUCUAGACUGUUGUUGCACUAAUAAGGUGAACUUUUAAAUUGGCCUUUUCUGUUUGUUCCUGUGAGGACUGUCUGUUCUGUUCACUGCCCCGCCCACUCCUGCCCACAUCCCCAUGAUGGGACGGUGACGGUGACGGUGAUGGUGAUGAUGGUGGUGGUGGUGCUUGUGAGGAUUGUGAUGAUUUGAUUUUGGAGGGCUUUUGUCUGUUUGAUCAGUUGCUUAUUCUGUUCUGGUUUUUUAUUUUGUCUCUGUUUCUAAGACAAGAGUCUUCUAUGCCCUAGAAUAGCCUCAAACUUGGCUCUGUAGCUAAAAAUGAGCAUGGCUAGGAAUGACCUUGGACUCGUCAUCCUCUUGCUUCUACCUCCCAAAUGCUGGGAUUUACAACACAUCUGCUCCAUAAUACCUUGUUGGUGAUGUUUGUUUGUUUUCUUUUUAACUUCUGGAUUUCCUUACUGCCUUUUGAUACACAUACUGUACUCUGUUCUUCACUCGACACCUCCCAGGCCUCCUCUUGGCCCCUUCAUCCUUCCAAGUAGUGCCCUGCUUUGUUUUCAUGACCUGUAUGCUGGUGACUUCUUAGCUGUUAAACAUACACAAAUUUGCAUUUAGAUUUUUACAUGUAAGAAAACACUAUUUUCCUUUUUAGUUAGCCUUAUUUGGUUAACAUAAGACUUCCAUUUUCUUGACAAUGUUGUAAUUUCAUUUUAUUCUUCUCUAUAACUAGAGAAAAUUGCAUUGUAUGUGUGCAUAUUUUUAUAUCCAUGAGCAGCUAGGCUUGUUCCAUUUCUUGGCUGUUAUGAAUAGUGUAGCAGCAAGCAGGAAUAUUCAAGUAGCUCUGUGAUGCGCUAACUUAGAGCCCUUGGGUAUAUACCUGGGGAUUAUGUAGGUGGUCACAUUGUAGCUCAGUCUUUGGUGUUGUGUGGAAUUUCCAUGCUGGUCUCCGUUCUUGUUUUACCAGUUGUACAUGCCUGUCAAGAAGUGCAUAAGUGUCCUCUCCCCACACUCACGCAGAAUUUGUUCUCAGUCAUUUUGUUGUUUAUUUUGUGGUAAGCCAUUCUGGUUUGGGUACGAUGGGGUCUGAAAGCAGUUUUAGUGUGAAUUUCUCUGAAGGCUAAGAAUCCUGAGUUCUUGGUGUUCAUUGGCCAUUUCAGAGUUCAUUAUAUAUCCUAAAUAAUUAAUCCACUUCAGAUAAAUAGAUGGUGAAAGUUUUCUCCUAUUCUGUGGGUUAUUUCUUUACUCUUAGUUUUAUUUGCUGGGCAGAAGCUUUUAAUUGCAUGCAAUCCCAUUUGCCAUUUCUUGGGUUUGUUUUUUUCAUUGGAGAGUCUUCACCUAUCCCUGUGCAUGCAACGGUUUAGCCUGUGUUUUACCUCUGGCUGUUUCAGAGGUUCAGAUUUUAUAUUAAGGUCUUUGAUUCAUUCUGAAUUGAUUUUUCUACAAGGUUCAAGAUUCAGUUCCAUGCUUCUUGUGGGAAAUCCUUUAUAAGAGAAGUUAAAUUUAGAUUCCCAAGACAGUCUGUAAGCAAAAAGUAUGUAUUCUUUGGAGUCACUUUAACCUACUUGUCCUAUCUGUAGUAAAGGAAUACUUGUUUUAUUGUAAAAUAUUAGAAUUGUGGUCUCCUUG